UGUACAGUUCACACUACACGACUGAAUCUCUGGCACUCAGGAGUCUUCUCAGUCGGUGUGUAUUUCACACUACACGAUUGAUCAGUGAUGGGGGGUUUCACACUUUACGAUCUAUCACCAACUGGAAUCUCAGGUGAGCUUCUCUGGUCUCCCAAAUAUCGUUUUGUCGUGAAAAUGUGAGAAGUGACGAAAGGUUUAAUGAUACGUCCAAAAAUGCACGUCAACAAGUAGCGAGCGAUCAAAGUUUGUGCGCGUGAAAACGAAGAGAAAAAAUAAAAUGAAUCUUAGUGGAUUUUGCUUGGAUUGUUCUAUAGUGAGUUGGAGGUUAAUAGGCUAAUGGGUUUUGUAGAGAACAAUAAGGUCAGAAAUACUGUAAUACUUGUGUGUGUGUCGGUGUAUUAUGAUAUAAACUACAUUAAACCCCUGUACAGCCUUUUACACACUUCUCCUGCAUUUUUCCUCACACUGCAUCUUGUGUUCUCAUUGGCCAGUUUUUCGAUAUGGAAUAAAAAGAACAGGAGGCGCUGCAUGCUUAUGACGCAGAAUAAUGUGGAAAGCACGCCAGUGUCAAGCAAAGCCAGGAAAGCCCAGCAACAACAGCCAGAUUUUUCGAUAUGGAAUAAAAAGAACAGGAGGCGCUGCAUGCUUAUGACGCAGAAUAAUGUGGAAAGCACGCCAGUGUCAAGACUAGAGACUAUUUCAGAACUGCCUGACGUGCCCGGAUCGCACAUCACGCCUUAAACUUUCUUUCUCUCUCUGUGUGUGUGUGUGUGUGUGUGUGUGUAAAAAAAAAAAAAAAAAAAAAAAAAAAAUACCCCCCCCCCCAAAAAAAAACAAACAAACAAACAAACAAACAAAACCUUUCCUAUUCCUAUUCUAAUCUGGCUUAAAUAUUUUUUAAUCAAUAAUUGAACCAAUUGCUCCGUAUGGCAAUACAUUUUGGGGUUCACUAACACACCAUCAAUUCCAUAAUUGGGACAAACAUCCAACAGAGACCCUGCACACAGAGUUCUGUAAAACCAUCCUAAAAGUGCACAGAAACACCACGAACAAUGCGUGCAGGGCAGAAUUGGGCAGAUUUUCUUUUUUUAUUUCAUUUUUUUAAUUUUUUUAAUAUAAACACACAGAGAAGAGCAAUCAACAUCUGGAAACAUCUAAACGAGAGCUACCCCCAACCUUAUCAUUAUAAAGCCCUGAAACACCAAGAACUGAGCAGUGAUCCCUGAUUUGGGAUUUGGAGUUACUGAAACAAGGAAAUCUGAAUCACUUAGCAUGAACAAGCAAAAACAUGUCAGGUCAACAGAUUUCACCCUGAUAUUGUGCCAACAAGAUUCUCUGAGUUACCACAACAAUCAAUUUUCAGAUACACAAUGUUAAUUUGUUUAAUUGGCUGAUUGCACACGCGCACUAAGGCACACUCCGUCUGCAAACCAGGGGCUCAAUUUGAAUGGUGCUUCACAUGCGGUUUCAGAAAGCUUCAUGUGUGGUUAGGAAGACUGAAGCUGAUGAAUAUGAAUACUUGAUGUCUGAAAACGACUUUGGAGGAGAUUCAUGUAAUUGCAGGGCUGCAUGCAAUUUCACCAGCUUAAGCCAAGCUGUCCUUUGGAGACACUAUCGACUUCAUCAUGAGAAGCUUUCCUACUGGCCUUGUAUUCAUACAGACUGUGUGUGUCUUCAGAACAACAUGUGCCUUAAGAUCACAUCUUUCCAGAUCCCACUGCAACAGCACUUCAGUGCAUCACAAACUCUUAACAUUUAAGUAUAGAUCCUGUGAUUUUCAAGAAAUUUGUACUGAAAAACAGUUUCCUACUCAUCUUGGAAACCAAAUCUUAAAAACCGUAAAACAGUUCAGUGUCCCCAUGUUUGAUGUGGAUUUAAAACAAACAACCGUCCAACUUUUAGCUCUCAUCAAAGCAGAAUCCACAAAAAUACACCGUUAAGGAUUUUCAAACUAUAAUAAGUGCGAACCCUGACGAUCUAGACGCUGGUCUCAAAGGAACAUGCCACUUCAUCUACAGUGUCAGGACCUCUGACAUUGUAGCCCACCAGUGCUGUGCCUUUGUUUCUAAGAGAAGAUCUCACAAGGUUAUUCAAGAAAUGUCUGGGUACAGAUCCUGAAAAUGGGCAGACCAAAGUGUUAGUUCUGGAGGUCUCUGUUGCAAGCUUGUCAUUGAAGGAGACCAGAGUAGGCUGAUCUCCUAUCGAGCAAAAUUAUACCACUGGAAUUACUUUGAGGGGGGCGGUGGGAGCGUAUAUGGAGCACAAGAGGAUCAAGAGAAGGCAUACAGAACCAGCUGAGGAGAAGGGGUAGCCGGCUUCCGUUACCAGCUAUCAAGCUGACAAAGGUGCGCUCAUUACGCAACAAAACUCAACACUUCUGAAGUUCGAUGGGGAUUACGGACAGACCAGCCUUUUUAGUUUUACUGAGACCUGUCUUUCAGCAGACACAGAUAACCAGUUGCAGGGGUUUACCAUCAUUGGCCUUGACAGAGAUGCGACCAAAACAAGGAAGACGCUUGCGGGCGGUCUCUGCAUGGCUGUAAACAGCAAAUGAGCGACCAACUACACAGUGAGAGAGACGGAGAGCUAUAGACAGUACGAACUCUUAACAGUGUCAUUUAGACCACACUAUCUCCCACAUAGUGGACAAUUUUAACAGGGCUGUUAAUAGAAGAGAUGGAACGAUCGAUCGGCUAUGUAUUGGUUUUAAUCUAAAUUUGCGAUUGGUGAUCGGCAGAUAUUUCUUAAAUGUAGCUGAGUCGAUCGCAAGCGCCUAAAGCAGACCUGGGCGUCAUACGCCACAUCCGGCCCACGUGGGGUUCGUGGCAAUUAAAAAUAAAUGUACAUCACACAUGCUA
This is a long non-coding RNA of Trichomycterus rosablanca, 2858 nucleotides long. RefSeq lists it as uncharacterized. Lineage: Eukaryota; Metazoa; Chordata; Actinopteri; Siluriformes; Trichomycteridae. The transcript has 8 exons. The record is from RefSeq and is a predicted model, not a curated record.